GGGUAGGUAAUGGGUAGAUUUAUUUUAGUUCCGGACUCACUAAGUAAUGCUAGAUUACUUAUGUUUCUACUUAAAUUUUACAGGUUUUCUUAGCCGAUUAUUCUCAUAGUGAAGCAAGUGAUCUAGGCGAAUCAAAGUAGGUUAUACAGCCUUUGUAAAUUCUUACUAUUUAUACUAUGUAGAUUUUUAAAGAAAAUGAUCCGA
Molecule: long non-coding RNA, 204 nt
Filed under: Capsella grandiflora
Lineage: Eukaryota; Viridiplantae; Streptophyta; Magnoliopsida; Brassicales; Brassicaceae
Description: long non-coding RNA (CGRA_LNC000476)
Source: RNAcentral